RNAcentral lists this transfer RNA (87 nucleotides) under Runella slithyformis DSM 19594. Its description in RNAcentral is "tRNA-Ser (GCT) (tRNA-Ser-GCT-1-1)". It matches the Rfam family "tRNA". Rfam says of the family: Transfer RNA (tRNA) molecules are approximately 80 nucleotides in length. Their secondary structure includes four short double-helical elements and three loops (D, anti-codon, and T loops). Further hydrogen bonds mediate the characteristic L-shaped molecular structure. tRNAs have two regions of fundamental functional importance: the anti-codon, which is responsible for specific mRNA codon recognition, and the 3' end, to which the tRNAs corresponding amino acid is attached (by aminoacyl-tRNA synthetases). tRNAs cope with the degeneracy of the genetic code in two manners: having more than one tRNA (with a specific anti-codon) for a particular amino acid; and 'wobble' base-pairing, i.e. permitting non-standard base-pairing at the 3rd anti-codon position. The record is from Rfam by way of RNAcentral. Lineage: Bacteria; Pseudomonadati; Bacteroidota; Cytophagia; Cytophagales; Spirosomataceae.
GGAGAGAUGGGUGAGCGGCUGAAACCAGCAGUUUGCUAAACUGCCGUACUCGCAAGGGUACCGAGGGUUCGAAUCCCUCUCCCUCCG